CAAUAGCGUAUAUUUAAGUUGUUGCAGUUAAAAAGCUCGUAGUUGGAUUUCGGAUGGGAUUUGCCGGUCCGUCGUUACGAUGUGCACUGGCCAGUCCUAUCUUGUUGUCGGGGACUAGCUCCUUGGAUUCACUUCCUGGGACUAGGAGCUGCCGAGGUUACUUUGAGUAAAUUAGAGUGUUCAAAGCAAGCCUACGCUCUGAAUACAUUAGCAUGGAAUAACACGAUAGGACUCUGGCUUAUCUUGUUGGUCUGUGAGACCAGAGUAAUGAUUAAGAGGGACAGUCGGGGACAUUCGUAUUUCAUUGUCAGAGGUGAAAUUCUUGGAUUUAUGAAAGACGAACUUCUGCGAAAGCAUUUGUCAAGGAUGUUUUCAUUAA
RNAcentral lists this ribosomal RNA (379 nucleotides) under uncultured eukaryote. Its description in RNAcentral is "partial 18S ribosomal RNA". It matches the Rfam family "Eukaryotic small subunit ribosomal RNA", at positions 592 to 976 of the family's 1831-position model. The record is from RNAcentral.